RNAcentral lists this long non-coding RNA (1656 nucleotides) under Equus asinus (donkey). RNAcentral's name for it is "lncRNA (ENSEASG00005037268.1)". Lineage: Eukaryota; Metazoa; Chordata; Mammalia; Perissodactyla; Equidae. The record is from RNAcentral.
AGUAGGGCCACAGGACGUGUUUCUGAGGCUCUGACAAUCCAUCUGAUGCUCGAGUCCCCUUGACCUUUGCCUUGAACCCUUCCUCACUCACCGGAAGCCGAGACUUCCUAGAUGAUGCUACAGAUUUCACUUGCCCGGAGCUCGAAGUUUUGGGAAGCCCUUGCUUACGGGCGGUGUCUCUUCUCCAGGCCUUGCACUCCCAGCUCCUGCAGCUAUGUCUCUGUGGAACAUGGUUCCCAUUCCCCUCCUUAACCUAGACACCUCCUUGCAUCACCUCUUACUUGUUCAGUUCCCUCCUAAGAGUCAAACAAGAGCCAAACACUGUUCUCCAGGCAUGGUGUGAUCUGCGGGGAGAAAAUGGGCUCUUCCACACUGUCAUCUGCUGCUGAGGACCACGGAGGGCUUCAUGGCGGCCUCCUCAAGCUGUUGCUGGAGCGAAGGCGUGCACACUUGCACACAAGUGUGAUGAACAAUGGUAAGAAGGCAAGCGUCAACUGUGUGUCCAGGGGAGGGGCUGCUCAUUCCCUCUGCAGCAUCUACUCUGGGCAGGCACCCUGCCAGGUGCAGACUGGCACAGAGAUGGGAACCAGACAGACGCCAGAGGACCCUGCCCUGUCCGCCAGGAGCUGUGGUCUCACACUCGUGGGAUGAACGUGAUGGCAAGGUAGGUCCAGCGGCUCAUAGUAAGUAUGUGCGCCAGUCCGGCUGGAGCAGAUGCUAGGGCUCAGCGGGAGCUCCUGGAAGCACACCUUUGUCACCUUCUUACUUCCCUUCAUCUUGGACUCAGCCAUGCAAUCAACAACUACAUCCUGUUGGUUAUUUCUUCUCACCGUAUGUGGCCUCCACCCUGACUUCCCACCCCACUGCUCCUGCCACACCGCAGGCCUCGUCCCUUGCGUCCUGCAAUAGCCCCCUUCCUAGUCUCCUGCCUCCAGUUUGUGCCCCUACCCCCUAACCUACAUAUCUCAGCCCGCUUAGUCUGCCUACAGGACUUCUUUAGCCAUGUCACCCUUCUGUCCCCACACCUUCCUUGGCCCUUGUGACCUACAGGAUAAACUCUGUCUGGCUUUGAAACCCUCGAUCCCACCCAACUCCUCACCACCCACCUUUUCUGCUCUGUUCUAUGGGAAUCCUGUUCCCGACCAAUGACUCAUCGCAUUUCCAGAUCUUUCCAUUCUUUUCUAAGCUCAAUUCAAUCAAGCCUAAAACCAUUUUAAAUAGCUCUUCGCUUCCUCUGAAGUCCUAUAGCGUAUGUCUUAAUCACUCAUUUAUGUGAAAGCAAAAUUUUGUUGCUAAGGCACACAAGGUAGACUUUGGCCAGGCAGUAUUUUUAUUUAUACAAGGGCUCAGCGUGUACACAGAUAUCUUUAUACCCCUGCAACCCUCUCCAUUUCCUUUGUGUACAUUCGGGUUAGUGGAGGUAGUGAACAGCUGUUGUUUUCACCUGUCCAACAUCUCUUCCUCAUCUUUUGCCCCAUCACCUUUCUGCCCCUCUUUUAUAUAGUUUGGGUGGGGCUGGCCAUCCCUCUCCACGGCCCGGGCACAUGAUCCGGUCUGGUCAAGAUUACAGUAUUCUAGUCCCUUGCCCACAGUGAUUGGUUCUGGGGUGAGCAAGGGCCCUAAGUCAGCCCAAUGAGAGUCAGCCUUGGAAUUUAG